Saccostrea cuccullata (small rock oyster) is the source of this 771-nucleotide long non-coding RNA. RefSeq lists it as uncharacterized. NCBI's taxonomy places the organism in Eukaryota, Metazoa, Mollusca, Bivalvia, Ostreida, Ostreidae. The record is from RefSeq and is a predicted model, not a curated record. The transcript is spliced from 6 exons.
UCUUUUGUUUUUCCUCUCUUUUACUUUGAUGAUUGUUAUGUUAUGAAACUUUUCUUGUAUAAAGCUCAAUUUCUCUAUGACCACGGAAGUAAACAUCCUGAUGCAUUCUUGUCAUGUGAAUGUUGAGAGCGUGUUCAUUUUUGAAAUUUUGAAAUCUCCUUUCUGACAUAUAUAUUCUACAGGAUCAGCUGAGAUGUUAUUUCACUGGAUUAUUUAAUGGAUAGGCUUAUUGGGCAUAUAUUUGGAUAUCUCUGUCAUCAACAUGGAAUGUAUGACUUCAUCUUUAUACAGUCGGGUCCGGGUUCGGCGGCCAUGGCGAAUCUCGGCAAGAUUUUACCCCAGUGAAAAAAGACUUGUAAUCCACCGUUCCUCAACCUGGAAGAUAUGUUUUGUUCCUAACCAUCUAUAAUCCAUUCUCUAUGAAGUGAAGCCUGGCUGCUGGUCUUCCUUUGGAAAUACACAGUUUGUCAAUCAACAUAGAAACACACAAACUUGAAGGGAAAGAAUACUUUAAUGUGGCUCAUCAGGAUGACCAGAAAAGAAAUCUUAAUGGCCCUCUUGACUAUGUAUAAAGACUGUAACCUUAUAACUGAUGAUUCUCUUGUGAGGGCUUAUGGAAAUGAUCUAUGUCUACUCUUAGAAUGGUGAAAGACUAUCAGAUUAUGCAAAGAUUAACAGAAUAUCCUCUCUUGGAACACUGAAACAAGAAAACCGAACUUAAGAGGAUGGAGGAUUUAAGAAGCACAUAGAUAAAUAUGAUUUCCAGCGAAU